This 832-nucleotide long non-coding RNA is filed under the name Parus major (Great Tit). RNAcentral describes it as "lncRNA (ENSPMJG00000004977.1)". The record is from RNAcentral. Lineage: Eukaryota; Metazoa; Chordata; Aves; Passeriformes; Paridae.
AUUUAUUAUUAGAUACCUGUGGAGUUUAAUAAAAAUAUACUUUAUGUCACCCUUGUUGUUAACAGUGAAAAUUCUCUCUCUUUUUUUUUAAUCUCACCCUGUGAAAUAAAACUCUUAUUUUUUUUUCUAGGAAGCAAAUACAUAGAUUGUGUUUCUAAACCAAAGGAGCUCAUGCUUGCUGGAGCAGACUUUUGGAAGUGAUGUUGGCUUCUUAAAGGUCUCCUUGCUGGUGAGCAGUAGGAGACAGGGUCUGCCUCACUCCCCAGCCCAUGGAUAAAAUCAUAAUAUUUUCAGUACCAUGGUAAAUUCUGUCCUGGCUUUUGGUACAAAAAAUAAAGGGAAGAGGAAAGAAUGUGAAGUGGGAGCAGCGUGCCAAAGCCUGAAAUGAAUUUCUUCCCUGAUGAGGAAGGUGAAGAAUUUGCUUGGUUGUCACUGCAGAAGAUGGAGAACUUCUCCAGGGAAGAUGGAAGGUCCAGACUGAGCAAGGAAUUUACAGAAAGGAUGGUGUGAGCCAAACUCUAUCCUGCCCUGGAAAGGAUUGUUUCCAUUCACAUUUAGCAGAAUUCCAUGGAGGGCACGGAAAGUUUGCAUGGAAGCAGCAUCAUCGUGCACCAGGCAUCAGUGGUGUGCCAGGAGACAACUCUGGAGAUGUGGCAUGUCCAGGCUGCCGAUUUCUGACUGGCUCAGCAGGGAAUUGUGCAGGAAUAACUCCCAAAAGGUGCCUUGGCAUCCUUCCCCACCCUCUGCCUUUAUUUGGAUGGUUCCAUCAUUGCUCUUGAGUUCACUUUGUGCCAGCGGGUCUCACGUACCUCAGGAGAGGUUUGGAUGGUGA